ACGCAGGGAGGGGAUAAGGAUGAAAUGAAGCGAGAUGCGGUUGAAGCUGGGGUGAUUCUCGGAGUUGUAGCUUAUCCCGUUGACGUGAAUCCAGGGAAUGAAGGAGGCGAGCUUCUUCAACGCGUGGGAGAAGAUUCUGGAUGCGGCCGAGACAUGGAAACUGUCGACGUGGAUGCAGGGGACUAUGCUCUUGGCUGAAGCAUGGGAAAACAGUGGGUUUGAGAGGAUCUUGGAGGGGAAGAAUAACAUGGAAUUUGGAAGAGAUGAAGCUGGGACGGCUGGCAGUUGGGAUGCGAAUGGAUCACAGAGGAAGUGGAUGGGAUGAAUCCGGAAGUUGGGAUGAAUCAAGGGGAGUUCGGCUGAGAUUGGUUCCGAAAUAGGGGAUACAGAAGAAACUUGGUUUGAUU
This 407-nucleotide long non-coding RNA is filed under the name Phoenix dactylifera (date palm). RNAcentral's name for it is "long non-coding RNA (PDAC_LNC010530)". The record is from RNAcentral. Lineage: Eukaryota; Viridiplantae; Streptophyta; Magnoliopsida; Arecales; Arecaceae.